Long non-coding RNA from Siniperca chuatsi (mandarin fish), 1599 nucleotides. RefSeq lists it as uncharacterized. The transcript is spliced from 4 exons. Lineage: Eukaryota; Metazoa; Chordata; Actinopteri; Centrarchiformes; Sinipercidae. The record is from RefSeq and is a predicted model, not a curated record.
ACAAACACCGCUGUCAUGGUAUGCAGCCCAACUUUGUUUCAUUGAUUGAGUUGCGCUCCUGCAGUCUUUGCAGCUUGGAGGGUCGAAUAAAACAGAGAUAGUUUGAAAGUAAUUUAUCCGCUAGAGGUGUGGAGAUAAAAAAAAGUUUGAGGAGUGAGACUAAACUUUUAUCCCGAGUCAUGUGUCAGCGUUGAGUGGAGACAAAGGAAAAGGAGCUGAACCCGGGAUGUUAAUGCGUAAGUUUUCGGAAAAAUGGAAUCAGCAAGAGGUGGAAGCAAGAAGGAUUUUGGCAGACAGGGUGGAGAAGCAACAUCAAAACACUAUUUGGAGUCACCGAGAUGACAUGAAGCAGUGGGACAACCUCCAUAACGGCUGAGUGGAUGAACGGAUGGAUGGAGUAGAGGAGCUACAGGGUGUGGAAGUGUUUCAUCUCCAGUCUGUACUCCAAAAGGUGUUAAGAAGCUCAGAGCGUCAGAUGAAGAACCAUGCAGAUGAGGCUUAAGUUUCUUGCUUAAGGACACUUCAGCAGGGCUGAAGUGUCUGCAACAGUGAUGCUCAGGGGGACACUCGGUCUGGAUUCAGUCAGUGUGGCGGCGUUUCUUCUCUUACUAAAUUAAAUAUGUGUAAUUGAUGGUUUCAUAAACAGAGCUAACCUUGCCAGCAGCGUUCGGGAGUUGCCACUGAGGAGGUCCAUGUGAAUAUGUAUUGUGUCAGAGAAGAGCCCACAACUACAUCCACAAGUCCUCAGGUUCUUCACUCACAAUGAGAGAGAGAAAAGGAGAGCGAGAUGCACGCUGCAAGAUAUUGACUACAACAGUUUCUCGCCUUCGCAGGCGUAACACAUGACAUAAUGUCUCCUGCAGACAGCCACAGCUGAAAGUAGACAGCAUUGUUCUAGGGUAAAAUCUCACUUACAGGAUGUUCUCUCUUUCUUUCUCACUCUGUCUCUCUCUCAUUGUGCUUUCUUUAUCUUGCCUCUUACCACUAUGAAACUGGAGAGAUGAAAGCAGUUUGAACUAUACAGACAGAGAGAUCAAGGCUGUUCAACAUAAAUGUCAGUACAGUACAGUGAAAAGCAUGCAUUUACAGCAGUCUCAUGGGAAAACACUGACAAAAUGAAAAAGAAGAAAUGUGUCACUAAAACACGGGACAAAGGAAAUUUUCAGCCUUAGCUUUUAACUUGAGCUGUAAACACUGCCUUUAGGCAGUUUUGUUACUUUAUUGCUGUGUACGUGUGUAUAUUCACACUCUGAAUGUAAAAAGAUUCUCCAACAUCUUUACUUUCAUGUCAGAAAAGUACAAUUUGUGCUAUAGCCUAAAUAAUUAUAAAAUAUAAAAAGUGAAGCAGCCAAUUCCACAUCACAUCUUUCUUUUUUUUAAAUCCAUGUUUGUUACAGUUUGUCCUGUGGGUCUGACAAUGCAUGAAUGCAGCACAGUUUCAAAGCUGUCAUGACAUCCAAGAAGUUCGCCCCAGCACAUGAGCACACCACAAGACCUGUACAUUUCUGGUAAAUGUGUAUGUUAGCUGACCCAAAUUGCAAGUAAUUGUUUCAUUUUCAGUGUCUAGAAGUAAUAAAAUGUGACUUCAGUAAACUUUAA